AUGAAGACAUUGAAGAGGAAGAAUACAACAAAGAUAGAUUCCUUUUUCAAGCCUAUUGCUUAUAGCUCUAAUGCAAAUCCAUCAGAGGAGCAACCUGUUGUAGAUGAUAAUUCCAGACCCAAUCCAGUUGAUAUGCACAUUGAUGAUCAUAAUAUUGUGGAACCAUUGGAAAUUUUAGAACAAGAUAGAACUAGAAGCACAAAAUAUGUUACGGAUCCUGGUACACGCCAACAUAUUUGGUAACACCAUCCUGAUAAGCAGGAUGAAGCACGUCGAUUCUAUGUUUUUGAGGGCGCUUAUCAGCCACACAUGAACGAGUAUCCAUAUAAUGGAACAACAAAAAACCGUCACUGAUUCUAGUAUAGUAAUUUCACCAAUUGGCCUUGGCUAGAGUAUUUACUUGUCACACAUCGAACAUAUUGCCUUUAUUAUUUCAUCUUUACGAAAAAACCAACUGGGAAGUGUGCUUCAAGUGCAUUCACAGUAGAUGGAUUUAUAAACUAGAGAAAUGUGAAUGAUGGCAAAGAUUGUGCUUUUGUAACUCACAUGGGCAAAGAUUCCAACUCAGCUCAUAGCUAUGCAGGCCGCUGUUAUGCAAAUCUGAAAAACAGAUUGAACCAUAUUGACAAGGUGAUGGUACAAGUAUGUACAAAAAAGUUUGCAGAUGCAAGGUUAAGACUUAAAGCCACAGUUGAUUCCAUUAGGUGGUUAGCAUUCCAGUCUUGUGCAUUUAGAGGAAAUGAUGAAUCUCCGGGAUCCCUAAACCAGGGUAAUUUUCUUGAGUUGGUAAAGCUUUUGGCUACUUAUAACAAGGUUGUCAGAGAUGUUGUCUUGGAAAAUGCUCCAGAAAAUGCCAAGUACACCUCACACCCCGUUCAACAAGAAAUCCUUAGUUUACUUUCCAGAAAAGUGCAGAAAAAUAUUAGAGAAGAAAUUGGCAAUAGCAAAUUUUGUAUAAUGGUGGACGAGUCUAGAGAUGAAUCUAGAAGAGAUCAGAUGGCACUGGUGAUUCGGCUUGCUAAUAAAGAAGGGUACAUAUAUGAGCGCUUCCUUGACAUCAUACAUGUUAGUGACAUUGCUGCGUUGACUCUCAAGGAGGCAAUUUGUACUGUCUUAGCAAAUAAUAACCUGAAUUUGCAAGAUAUCAGAGGACAAGGAUACCAUUGCGCAAGUAACAUGCGAGGGUGGAAUGGAUUGAAAGCUCUAAUAUUGAAUGAGUGCCCUUAUGCUUAUUAUGUCCAGUGCAUGGCUCAUCAGCUCCAAUUGGCUCUUGUUGUAGCAUCAAGAGAGGUACACGAGGUACAUAACUUUUUUCAGCAUGCAAAUUUUGUGAUAAAUGUUGUCAGCGCAUCGUCUGAAUGGAAUGAUGAGUUAUUAGCUAAUCAAGCCGCUGAAAUCGCGCUUCUACAAAGUGUAGCAAAUGGUCGUUCAGUCACAAGAUAUUCUCGUGGAGAUGCAGUGGGUGCCCUAAAGAUGAUUAUCUAUUUUGAUUUUGUAUUCAUUCUGCACCACAUGGAGAAAAUCAUGAAGAUCGCAGAUGUUCUAUGUCAAAUGCUCCAAAGGAAGUCUUUGUAUAUUUUAAAUGCAUUAGAUUGUGUUUCAAACACAAAGUAUCUACUUGCUGAACUAAGAGAAGAUGGUUGGGAACCACUUCUAGAGGAGGUUAAAUCUUUUUGUCUGAAGCAUGAUAAUGACAUCCCCGAUUUUAGUUCCAACAACACCACAACACUUCACCACUAUAAAGCAGAUGUAUUCAAUGUUGCCAUAGAUCAGCAGUUGGUUGAGCUGAAUGAUCAGUUCAGUUUUCAAAGCACUGAGUUAUUGAGGCUUAGUGUAUCUCUAAAUCCAGACUACUCCAUGGUUGAUAGACUAUUGUGGUUGAUUUACUCUCCCAGUUUCAAUGGCAACCACUGAGUGAGCCUUUUUUCUAUGAAACUAGACAAGACACGUCUUCAAGGCAAAAUGGGUGAUGAGUUUCUUCGACAUUACAUGGUUGUCAACAUUGGAAAGGAAAUAGUUGCAAAAGACACAGCUGAUGAGAUUAUCCACAUUUUCGACGAUGGUACUCGUAGAGCUGAAUUUCAAUUAAUAGAGAUGUAA
This 2100-nucleotide ribosomal RNA is filed under the name Triticum aestivum (bread wheat). Its description in RNAcentral is "partial small subunit ribosomal RNA". Lineage: Eukaryota; Viridiplantae; Streptophyta; Magnoliopsida; Poales; Poaceae. The record is from RNAcentral.